Molecule: ribosomal RNA, 489 nt
Filed under: uncultured bacterium
Lineage: Bacteria
Description: bacterial SSU rRNA
Rfam family: Bacterial small subunit ribosomal RNA
Source: RNAcentral
GACGAACGCUGGCGGCGCGCCUAACACAUGCAAGUCGAACGGGAUCUAUCAGGAGCUUGCUCCAGGCAGAUCUAGUGGCGGACGGGUGAGUAACACGUGAGCAACCUGCCCUUCAGAGGGGGAUAACGUCUGGAAACGGACGCUAAUACCGCAUAACACCACGAGAUGGCAUCAUUUUGUGGUCAAAGGAGAAAUCCGCUGAGGGAUGGGCUCGCGCCCGAUUAGAUAGUUGGUGAGGUAAUGGCUCACCAAGUCUGCGAUCGGUAGCCGGACUGAGAGGUUGAUCGGCCACAUUGGGACUGAGACACGGCCCAGACUCCUACGGGAGGCAGCAGUGGGGAAUAUUGCACAAUGGGGGAAACCCUGAUGCAGCGACGCCGCGUGAGUGAAGACGGCCUUCGGGUUGUAAAGCUCUGUUGUGGGGGACGAUAAUGACGGUACCCCACUAGAAAGCCACGGCUAACUACGUGCCAGCCGCCGCCGUAAAAC